GCUAACGGCUGGCGGCGUGUCUUAGCCAUGCAAGUCGAGCGGACUUAUGGGGUAACUUAUAAGUCAGCGGCGGACGGCGGAGUAACACGUAGCUAACCUACCCUCUGGACGGGGAUAACCUACCGAAAGGUGGGCUAAUACCCGAUGUAGUCAUUCUGUAUAGGGGUGAUGAAAGGUGGGCUUCUGUUUACAAGCUCAUGCUGGAGGAGGGGGCUGCGGCCUAUCAGGUAGUUGGUAGGGUAAUAGCCUACCAAGCCGAUGACGGGUAGCCGGCCUGAGAGGGUGACCGGCCCGAGGGGCACUGAGAUACGGGUCCCACUCCUACGGGAGGCAGCAGGCUAGAAAUUUGGGCAAUGGGGGAAACCCUGACCCAGUGACGCCGCGUGCAGGAAGGAGCCCUUCGGGGUGUAAACUGCUGUCGUGUAGGGAGAAGGGUACUAAGGUGAACAAUCUUAGUACUUGACGGUACUACAGGAGGAAGCCCAGGCUAACCUCGUG
This 498-nucleotide ribosomal RNA is filed under the name uncultured bacterium. RNAcentral describes it as "bacterial SSU rRNA". It matches the Rfam family "Bacterial small subunit ribosomal RNA", at positions 35 to 507 of the family's 1533-position model. The record is from RNAcentral.